CUAUUCUCUAAUUUUGUGUGCACCGACAUCUAUUUUGCAAUGAGAUUAUUAUACGUGUGAUUGUUGUUGUGUUGCUGCUGUUGUUGUUGCUUUUUGUGGCUUUUUGUCAUCAUAUUACAUUAUUUGAGGAGAUUGAUCAAUAUAUGUCUCAUCGGAGUUGGAUGUAUGAUAGAAAAUAUCCGGGUGGUAGGAUAGUUAAAGCGCGUUUUAAGGAUGGAGUUGAAGAAUUUGUUACUUACGCGAUGUCGCGAGAUAUUGUUAAAAGUGAGGGAGGGAUAAGAUGUCCGUGUAUUAAAUGUAUGUGUGGGUCGAUUGAGAGCAAAUCAUCAAUUUCGGAAGAAAAAGAAUUUGUUUAAGUUAGACACAACAGAAACUGAUUGAUGGUCCGCCUCCUAAGAUAACAUCAUACGAUGUAUUUCAUAAAGUCAGUGGACUUGGACUAUUGAAAUUUCCAGAUGUUGGCCACAGGAUCAGAUAUGAUGGAUACGGGGAAGAGCACAAUUGGACUAAAAGAAGUAUUUUUUGGGACCUCCCUUACUGGAAAGACAAUUUACUGAGACAUAAUCUUGAUGUCAUGCAUAUUGAAAAGAAUUUUUGUGACAAUAUACUACACACGGUGAUGGAUGUGUCCGGUAAAACAAAAGAUAACGAGAAGGCUAGGUGGGAUUUGCCAUUGUCGAUGGUUAAAAGAAUUGAGAAUGCCGGACGGAUAUUCUUCGAACUUGGCAAGGUGUGCCGACGUCAACACAGGAAGAUUGCGGGGAAUGAAAAGUCACGAUUCACAUGUUUUAAUGGAACGGUUACUUCCAAUUGCAUUUUGUUCAUUGC
Molecule: long non-coding RNA, 828 nt
Organism: Trifolium pratense (red clover)
Lineage: Eukaryota; Viridiplantae; Streptophyta; Magnoliopsida; Fabales; Fabaceae
Exons: 3
Source: RefSeq, a predicted model, not a curated record